Molecule: non-coding RNA, 670 nt
Organism: Epinephelus lanceolatus (giant grouper)
Lineage: Eukaryota; Metazoa; Chordata; Actinopteri; Perciformes; Serranidae
Source: RefSeq, a predicted model, not a curated record
UGCAAGAAAACAUUUACCAAGGAGUGAAAGACAACGGAGAAGUUUUUAUGUAGUUAUCACCGUGUUUUCUUCGUGUCGAAAAAGCCUAGCGAGACCGUUAAUUACACGUUACCGCCACCUGUCGUCGUGGAAGUCUCAUAAAAAGGCCCACAAUGGCUUAACAUUCAUACCAAAACUCUUCAUUUGUUUGUCCAUGUAAAUAAUAUGUGAUACUCACCAACGUUGGCCUAAAAGUCCACUGUUUGCUAGCUGUGUUGUUCACAGAGUAGUUGCAACACUCCAGCACAUAGCCGCAGCCCUCGCUGUGGCACCUGCACCGAGUCAAGGAGUAUUCCUGGUGUGAGGAGAUCCAGAUGUUCCGGAGGUUUUAAGCAGGAGCUGAACUAUCUGUAGAUGUCUCCUCUUCCCCAAAACAAACACACCAGGGGAGGCUCAUUCGCCGCUGCCAGCCCUAAGAUUAUUAUCAUUAAGAGGAGGCAAAUAAAAUGACACGUGACGACUCCGCAUGAUUAUUGGCGCAAUCACUCAUGUAACAGCCUGCCCAGCUUUCCGUGGGGGCUCCAGUAUUUGUCACUGUCACUUCCCCAAGUGCUCCGCCAUUGUCUUGGAAAUUGUAUGUGUAAGGCAAGAGAUGCCUGUGACCCACUUCGACAAGGGAGCCAGCGAUGUG